This 155-nucleotide unclassified non-coding RNA is filed under the name uncultured Xylaria. RNAcentral describes it as "sequence contains ITS2". Lineage: Eukaryota; Fungi; Ascomycota; Sordariomycetes; Xylariales; Xylariaceae. The record is from RNAcentral.
CAACCCUUAAGCCCCCGUUGCUUAGCGUUGGGAGCCUACGGCAGCGUAGCUCCCCAAAGUUAGUGGCGUGGUCGGUUCACACUCCAGACGUAGUACUUUUUCACCUCGCCUGUAGCUGGACCGGUCCCCUGCCGUAAAACACCCCAAUUUCUAAA